This is a long non-coding RNA of Apis florea (little honeybee), 228 nucleotides long. The record is from RefSeq and is a predicted model, not a curated record. Lineage: Eukaryota; Metazoa; Arthropoda; Insecta; Hymenoptera; Apidae.
UUAAAAUUUUAAUUAAUAAUUAUAACAAACUUGUUAUAGAAUAUGUGAGAAGUAUAAACGAAUUUUAUGCUAUAUUUGCUCAAAUAGAAAACAUCGUUAGGAUGUGAUGACUUACCAUUUGUGUGUACUUACUCUGCUACAUCUCGAAUAUCUUUUUGGAAAGUUACUGAAUCAAUCACAUAGACAAGUCCUUUUGCAGAUAAUUUGAAUUGAUCAAAAAAUUUAUAA